CGUGUAGGCGGUUGGUCAAGUCCGGUGUGAAAGCCCGGGGCUCAGCUCCGGAAGUGCAUCGGAAACUAGCCAGCUUGAGCGCGAUAGAGGAGGGUGGAAUUCCUGGUGUAGCGGUGAAAUGCGUAGAUAUCAGGAGGAACACCGGCGGCGAAGGCGGCCCUCUGGAUCGUUGCUGACGCUGAGACGCGAAAGCGUGGGGAGCAAACAGGAGUAGAUACCCUGGUAGUCCACGCUGUAAACGAUGGGUACUAGGUGUUCGGGGUGUUGACCCCCUGAGUGCCGCAGCUAACGCAUUAAGUACCCCGCCUGGGGACUACGGCCGCAAGGUUAAA
RNAcentral lists this ribosomal RNA (332 nucleotides) under uncultured bacterium. RNAcentral's name for it is "bacterial SSU rRNA". It matches the Rfam family "Bacterial small subunit ribosomal RNA", at positions 568 to 898 of the family's 1533-position model. The record is from RNAcentral.